RNAcentral lists this ribosomal RNA (444 nucleotides) under uncultured bacterium. RNAcentral's name for it is "partial 16S ribosomal RNA". It matches the Rfam family "Bacterial small subunit ribosomal RNA", at positions 331 to 792 of the family's 1533-position model. The record is from RNAcentral.
CCAGACCCCUACGGGAGGCAGCAGUGGGGAAUAUUGCACAAUGGGGGAAACCCUGAUGCAGCGACGCCGCGUGGGUGAAGAAGUCAUUCGUGACGUAAAGCUCUAUCAGCAGGGAAGAAAAUGACGGUACCUGACUAAGAAGCCCCGGCUAACUACGUGCCAGCAGCCGCGGUAAUACGUAGGGGGCAAGCGUUAUCCGGAUUUACUGGGUGUAAAGGGAGCGUAGACGGCAGCGCAAGUCUGAAGUGAAAUGCCGGAGCUUAACCCCGGAACUGCUUUGGAAACUGAGCAGCUAGAGUGCAGGAGGGGCAGGCGGAAUUCCUGGUGUAGCGGUGAAAUGCGUAGAUAUCAGGAGGAACACCGGUGGCGAAGGCGGCCUGCUGGACUGCAACUGACGUUGAGGCCCGAAAGCGUGGGGAGCAAACAGGAUUAGAUACCCUUGUA